Non-coding RNA from Bos taurus (domestic cattle), 344 nucleotides. NCBI's taxonomy places the organism in Eukaryota, Metazoa, Chordata, Mammalia, Artiodactyla, Bovidae. The record is from Rfam.
CAAUCUGGUUGCUACAUCUGUCACCCCAUUGAUCACCAGGGUUGAUUCGGCUGAUCUGGCUGGCUAGGCGGGUGUCCCCUUCCUCCCUCACUGCUCCAUGUGCGUUCUUCCCGAAGCUGCACGCUCGGUCGAAGAGGACGACCAUCCCCGAUAGAGGAGGACCAGUCUUCAGUCAAGGGCAUACAAGUAGCUGCACUCCCCUGCUAGAACCUCCAAACAAGCUGUCAACUGGGAAAUUUUUAUUUUUCCUAUCCCACGUUCUUGUUUCUUAUUUCCCUAGGAUUCCAAAUACAUGUAAUCUAAACUCCUUAAUAUUUCUUUCAAAGGUUAUUGAGACUCUAUUA